GACGGGGGGGGCAAGUGUUCUUCGGAAUGACUGGGCGUAAAGGGCACGUAGGCGGUGAAUCGGGUUGAAAGUGAAAGUCGCCAAAAAGUGGCGGAAUGCUCUCGAAACCAAUUCACUUGAGUGAGACAGAGGAGAGUGGAAUUUCGUGUGUAGGGGUGAAAUCCGUAGAUCGUACGAAGGAACGCCAAAAGCGAAGGCAGCUC
Molecule: ribosomal RNA, 203 nt
Filed under: uncultured bacterium
Lineage: Bacteria
Description: partial 16S ribosomal RNA
Rfam family: Bacterial small subunit ribosomal RNA
Source: RNAcentral